This 406-nucleotide ribosomal RNA is filed under the name uncultured bacterium. Its description in RNAcentral is "partial 16S ribosomal RNA". It matches the Rfam family "Bacterial small subunit ribosomal RNA", at positions 30 to 526 of the family's 1533-position model. The record is from RNAcentral.
AUUGAACGCUGGCGGCAGGCUUAACACAUGCAAGUCGAGCGAGAGGCGGACGGGUGAGUGAUGCACGGGAAAAUGCCUGACGUAGGGGGCUAACUACUGGACACGGUAGCUAAUAAUGCAUACCAUCAGAUGUGCCCAGAUGGGAUUAGCUAGGAGGUGGGGUAAGGGCUCACCUAGGCGACGAUCCCUGGCUGGUCUGAGAGGAUGACCAGGCACACAUGAACUGAGACACGGUCCAGACUCCUACGCGAGGCAGCAGAGGGGAAUAUUGCACAAUGGGCGCAAGCCUGAUCCAGACAUGCCGCGUGUGUGAAGAAGGCCUUCGGGUUGUGAAGCACUUUCAGCGAGAAGGCGUUACUCGCAGAAGAAGCACCGGCUAACUCCGUGCCAGCAGCCGCGGUAAUAC